GAUGAAGAACGCAGCGAAAUGCGAUAAGUAGUGUGAAUUGCAGAAUUCAGUGAAUCAUCGAAUCUUUGAACGCACAUUGCGCCCCUUGGUAUUCCAUGGGGCAUGCCUGUUCGAGCGUCAUUUGUACCUUCAAGCUUUGCUUGGUGUUGGGUGUUUGUCCCUCGGGACUCGCCUUAAAGUCAUUGGCAGCCAGUGUUUUGGUUUUGAAGCGCAGCACAAGUCGCGAUUCAAGGCUAUCCGCCCGCUUCCACAAGCCUUUUUCACUUUUGACCUCGGAUCAGGUAGGGAUACCCGCUGAACUUAAGCAUAUCGAUAAGCGGAGGA
Molecule: unclassified non-coding RNA, 324 nt
Filed under: soil metagenome
Description: partial contains 5.8S ribosomal RNA, internal transcribed spacer 2, and large subunit ribosomal RNA
Rfam family: 5.8S ribosomal RNA (bases 1-120)
Source: RNAcentral